UACGUAGGGUGCAAGCGUUGUCCGGAAUUAUUGGGCGUAAAGAGCUCGUAGGCGGUCUGUCGCGUCGGAUGUGAAAACCCAGGGCUCAACCCUGGGCCUGCAUUCGAUACGGGCAGACUAGAGUUCGGUAGGGGAGACUGGAAUUCCUGGUGUAGCGGUGAAAUGCGCAGAUAUCAGGAGGAACACCGGUGGCGAAGGCGGCUUUCUGGACGACAACUGACGCUGAGACGCGAAAGCGUGGGGAGCAAACAGG
RNAcentral lists this ribosomal RNA (253 nucleotides) under uncultured bacterium. RNAcentral describes it as "partial 16S ribosomal RNA". It matches the Rfam family "Bacterial small subunit ribosomal RNA", at positions 524 to 776 of the family's 1533-position model. The record is from RNAcentral.